This 75-nucleotide transfer RNA is filed under the name Sinanaerobacter chloroacetimidivorans. RNAcentral's name for it is "tRNA-Thr". It matches the Rfam family "tRNA". Rfam says of the family: Transfer RNA (tRNA) molecules are approximately 80 nucleotides in length. Lineage: Bacteria; Bacillati; Bacillota; Clostridia; Peptostreptococcales; Anaerovoracaceae. The record is from RNAcentral.
GCUGGAGUGGCUCAACGGUAGAGCAGCUGAUUUGUAAUCAGCAGGUUGGGGGUUCGAUUCCCUUCUCCAGCUCCA